CAGAUAGGUAAUAUUAAGCCCUCACUUUAUUGGAUAUAUUGUUGUACGUACAGAGAUACGUAAGUAUAUGCAUACAUAAGCACAAGCCUCUUAUUUAUUCUAUUUGAUAUACAUACGUAUGCGCAUACAUGUGCGCAUAUACAUAUAUAAAACCUUACACCAAAGGUCAAGACGAUUGCAUACAAGAGGGCUAUUAAUUUUCAUGGAAAAUUCUUACCUAGAUUGAGAUAAGAAAAAUCCAAUUUACAUACUACUAGCAUGACAAUCAGGAAUCCAAUCAAAAGGACAGGUAGGAUCAAACUUCAAGCUGUAAAAAUUUCCCAAAUUGAGCAAGCUUUCUUGUGUUUCGUUGAUGAACCUGGCAGGACUAAGAUUUACCGGAGCAACAGAAGCGUUAUUCGCAAUGGUCAAGUAGUCCUUUGUCUCAUAUCGAAAAUAACCAUUCAAGAACGCCACAAUAAUCCCACCAACAGUUCUCCUCAGGGGAUCUCUAGAACGAUUCCCCUUGCAGAUAUUAAUUCUGGGUUCAUAGUCAUCUAAGAUGUCCAUAUGACCAUAGUCUGUAGCAACAAAAUAACCAAUAGGAGGCUUGCUUUCCAAGUAGAACUCCAUAUGGUUCAAAUCACUAGGAGCACAAGGAGGAAAAAGUAAAAACUUCUGAUCACCUAACCCACUGCCGAUUACGGUAACAGGAAUCGAUAAGUCAAAAGAGUGGGGGAAAAAUUUGAGAAUUUUGGGAUCACAACGGCAUUCUUUACUCAACCCUGCAACAGGAUCGACGCCUACAAGUACUGAAAUGGUGACUUCUAGGGGGAUUUUGGCAUAUCCAAGAGCAAGUGCAAAAGCUGUCUUACCACCUCUACUGUGGCCUGAAACAGCAAGCUGGUCGAGGUUCCCUUCAACAUUUUCCGGCAGUACAGUCUUGAGGCCUAAGAGUAACCAGUUCGCUACGUUUGCCGCGUAAUUAAGUUCUUCAUUUCCACUUAUCGUAGGAAUAACAACUGGGCAAUUAUACAACUGAGGAGCAACAACUAUGUAUCCAUGGGAAGCAAUAUGCUCGAGGAGGCUUCUGUAGACAGAAUUGGUAGUGCAGGUGCCAUGGAAAAACAAGAAGACAGGGUAUUUUCCCCCUAUAGUUGGGGAAAUGAUAAACAAGGGCUUAGGAGAGGCAGAUUUUGAUUCCUUCACUGAAAUAGCUUUUGUGGAAAUACUUCCUGCUUCAAAAACAGGAAGGGUUGCCAAGACUAGCUUCACCACUUCCGAGUGUGAUGACAGUAGCAUUACCAACAAUGUUAUUGACACUGUUGCUAUUGCCAUCUCUUGCUUUUCUCUACUGAG
This 1338-nucleotide unclassified non-coding RNA is filed under the name Hevea brasiliensis (rubber tree). The record is from RNAcentral. Lineage: Eukaryota; Viridiplantae; Streptophyta; Magnoliopsida; Malpighiales; Euphorbiaceae.